UUGAACCAGCCAAGUAGCGUGAAGGAUGACUGCCCUAUGGGUUGUAAACUUCUUUUAUAUGGGAAUAAAGUUUUCCACGUGUGGAAUUUUGUAUGUACCAUAUGAAUAAGGAUCGGCUAACUCCGUGCCAGCAGCCGCGGUAAUACGGAGGAUCCGAGCGUUAUCCGGAUUUAUUGGGUUUAAAGGGAGCGUAGGUGGACAGUUAAGUCAGUUGUGAAAGUUUGCGG
Molecule: ribosomal RNA, 227 nt
Filed under: uncultured bacterium
Lineage: Bacteria
Description: partial 16S ribosomal RNA
Rfam family: Bacterial small subunit ribosomal RNA
Source: RNAcentral